CUGGGAAUAGCUUAAGGUUGAAAGCUCAGAAUUCUUACUUCUGUGAUGUUUAUGGUGAACUUCUCAGG
RNAcentral lists this transfer RNA (68 nucleotides) under Tracheophilus cymbius. RNAcentral describes it as "tRNA-Lys". Lineage: Eukaryota; Metazoa; Platyhelminthes; Trematoda; Plagiorchiida; Cyclocoelidae. The record is from RNAcentral.